RNAcentral lists this small RNA (79 nucleotides) under Pseudomonas sp. SJZ079. Its description in RNAcentral is "Pseudomonas sRNA P31". It matches the Rfam family "Pseudomonas sRNA P31". Lineage: Bacteria; Pseudomonadati; Pseudomonadota; Gammaproteobacteria; Pseudomonadales; Pseudomonadaceae. The record is from RNAcentral.
AGAAAACCUCCGAAGAUCAACGCUUUGAAGCAAACGCAGAUUGUAAAAAAGCGGGAUGACGUAUCGACCGUCACCCCGC